RNAcentral lists this ribosomal RNA (224 nucleotides) under uncultured bacterium. Its description in RNAcentral is "partial 16S ribosomal RNA". It matches the Rfam family "Bacterial small subunit ribosomal RNA", at positions 1276 to 1500 of the family's 1533-position model. The record is from RNAcentral.
GAAACGGACGUCCCAGUUCGGAUUGCAGCCUGCAACUCGGCUGCAUGAAGCUGGAAUCGCUAGUAAUCGCGGAUCAGAAUGCCGCGGUGAAUACGUUCCCGGGUCUUGUACACACCGCCCGUCACACCAUGGGAGUCGGGAAUGCCCGAAGUCAGUGACCCAACCGAAAGGGGGAGCUGCCGAAGGCAGGCCUGGUAACUGGGGUGAAGUCGUAACAAGGUAUC